UCCGUGAGCUGGGGGUGGCCGCAGAGACCAGCGAGAAGCGACUGUUUACUAAAAACACAGGUCCGUGCGAAGCCGUAAGGCGAUGUAUACGGACUGACGCCUGCCCGGUGCUGGAACGUUAAGGGGACCGGUUAGCUUGGAUUCGUCCAGGCGAAGCUGAGAACUUAAGCGCCAGUAAACGGCGGUGGUAACUAUAACCAUCCUAAGGUAGCGAAAUUCCUUGUCGGGUAAGUUCCGACCUGCACGAAUGGCGUAACGACUUCUCGACUGUCUCAACCAUAGGCCCGGUGAAAUUGCACUACGAGUAAAGAUGCUCGUUUCGCGCAGCAGGACGGAAAGACCCCGGGACCUUUACUACAGUUUGAUAUUGGUGUUCGGUUCGGCUUGUGUAGGAUAGCUGGGAGACUUUGAAGCUCGCACGCCAGUGUGGGUGGAGUCGUCGUUGAAAUACCAGUCUGGUCGUGCUGGAUGUCUAACCUGGGUCCGUGAUCCGGAUCAGGGACAGUGUCUGAUGGGUAGUUUAACUGGGGCGGUUGCCUCCUAAAGGGUAACGGAGGCGCCCAAAGGUUCCCUCAGCCUGGUUGGCAAUCAGGUGUUGAGUGUAAGUGCACAAGGGAGCUUGACUGUGAGACCGACGGGUCGAGCAGGGACGAAAGUCGGGACUAGUGAUCCGGCGGUGGCUUGUGGAAGCGCCGUCGCUCAACGGAUAAAAGGUACCCCGGGGAUAACAGGCUGAUCUUCCCCAAGAGUCCAUAUCGACGGGAUGGUUUGGCACCUCGAUGUCGGCUCGUCGCAUCCUGGGGCUGGAGUCGGUCCCAAGGGUUGGGCUGUUCGCCCAUUAAAGCGGUACGCGAGCUGGGUUUAGAACGUCGUGAGACAGUUCGGUCCCUAUCCGCUGUGCGCGUAGGAGUCUUGAGAAGGGCUGUCCCUAGUACGAGAGGACCGGGACGGACGAACCUCUGGUGUGCCAGUUGUUCUGCCAAGGGCAUGGCUGGUUGGCUACGUUCGGGAGGGAUAACCGCUGAAAGCAUCUAAGCGGGAAGCCUGCUUCGAGAUGAGGACUCCCACCUCCUAGAGAGGGUAAGGCUCCCAGUAGACGACUGGGUUGAUAGGCCAGAUAUGGAAGCCGGGUAACCGGUGGAGUUGACUGGUACUAAUAGGCCGAGGGCUUGUCCUCAGUUG
This 1182-nucleotide ribosomal RNA is filed under the name Streptomyces sp. WAC06273. Its description in RNAcentral is "partial 23S ribosomal RNA". It matches the Rfam family "Bacterial large subunit ribosomal RNA", at positions 1759 to 2925 of the family's 2925-position model. Lineage: Bacteria; Bacillati; Actinomycetota; Actinomycetes; Kitasatosporales; Streptomycetaceae. The record is from RNAcentral.